Molecule: long non-coding RNA, 259 nt
Filed under: Lathyrus oleraceus (garden pea)
Lineage: Eukaryota; Viridiplantae; Streptophyta; Magnoliopsida; Fabales; Fabaceae
Description: Pisum sativum (pea) long non-coding RNA (PSAT_LNC026178)
Source: RNAcentral
UGACACAAUUAUUUUACUGUAGAAAACCUUCUCAAUGUGAGAAAGAAAAAAACACGAAACCCUUAGGCCUCUUAAACUUCCAUUAUAAUGAUAAUGGGAAUACAACAACUUCACCCUUAGGUGGAUUUCACUAUAAUUAAUCUCUCAAUUUUUAAGAAACACUAUCAUAAAUUGGCUCACUAUUUCUCUCACAAGGAAACUCUCUAUGAGGAUCACUUUUCUCUAUUGAACAAGACUAUCUUUCUCUCUUGCUUCUUGU